AAGUCGAACGCGAAAGCCGCCUUCGGGCGGCGAGUAGAGUGGCGCACGGGUGAGUAACACGUAGACAACCUGCCUUCCAGUUCGGGACAACCUCUUGAAAGAGGGGCUAAUACCGGAUAACACCCCUGGCCGCAUGGCCGGGGGUUGAAAGGCUUGCUGCUGGAAGAGGGGUCUGCGGGACAUUAGCUUGUUGGUGGGGUAAAGGCCCACCAAGGCUGCGAUGUCUAGCGGGUCUGAGAGGAUGAUCCGUCACACUGGAACUGAGACACGGUCCAGACUCCUACGGGAGGCAGCAGUGGGGAAUUUUGCGCAAUGGGCGAAAGCCUGACGCAGCAACGCCGCGUGAGUGAAGAAGGCUUUUGGGUCGUAAAGCUCUUUUCUGAGGGAAGAGCAAAGACGGUACCUCAGGAAUAAGCACCGGCUAACUCCGUGCCAGCAGCCGCGGUAAUACGGAGGGUGCAAGCGUUGUUCGGAUUUACUGGGCGUAAAGGGCGUGUAGGCGGAUAUGUAAGCUGGAGGUGAAAGCCCCGGGCUCAACCCGGGAACUGCUUUGCAGAACUGCAUGUCUAGAGAAAGUCAGAGGCAGGUGGAAUUCCUGGUGUAGAGGUGAAAUUCGUAGAGAUCAGGAGGAACACCGGCGGCGAAGGC
This 648-nucleotide ribosomal RNA is filed under the name uncultured bacterium. RNAcentral describes it as "bacterial SSU rRNA". It matches the Rfam family "Bacterial small subunit ribosomal RNA", at positions 59 to 722 of the family's 1533-position model. The record is from RNAcentral.